This is a long non-coding RNA of Plectropomus leopardus (leopard coralgrouper), 558 nucleotides long. RefSeq lists it as uncharacterized. Lineage: Eukaryota; Metazoa; Chordata; Actinopteri; Perciformes; Serranidae. The record is from RefSeq and is a predicted model, not a curated record.
CAGCUGAGUUAAUGAGAGGAUAUUUGUUGCCUUCCUCCCUUUGUUUGACCUUGUUCAGCAGCCAUAGUUAAAACCAAACACACACAAAUACUCUGUAAUCAACCACACUGCUCUGCUGAGUCGACACCUGCUGCCUCUCCUGCUCCGUUCACGUCAUCUGAGUCAGCGCCAGCGCUUCUUCCCCACAGGGUGACUGAUGAUUCAUCAGCACAGUCUUGCAUCAGGAGAGGGAAUCAUGUUCGUAAAAUAAGCCCACAAUGCCUCAGUUUCCUGUCCCACAACAUCUGCUCAAAUGAUUAUGAAAAACACUCAGCAUGGCGCCUCGUCGCUCAGAGCGUCCAUAUGUGGAAGUAAACACUGUUUGUGAUACGAUGCCAUCCUUCCUGAGGCGGCCAUCACUUUGUCUCUUCAGCUCAGAGAUUUAAAACAGUGUGAUAAUGAUGCAGUCUUUCUCUCACCGUGGCACAUUAUUAGAUGCUUAAAAUUGUCUCUGUACAAAUUUGUUUUCUCGCUCUUGUAGUCUGUAAACAGCUCUCUGUUCCAGAGAGCCUUGCAGAG